CUGUUUCGCUACGGUCAAAUCGCGGACAAAAUUAAGAUGGCUUCCACAAUUUUUUUGGAAAUUUUGUGUUUUUAUCAUUUUUUAAGUUAUUGAAACUUUUUUUGUGUUGUUUUAAUUUUACUGAAUUAAAAAGUAUUAAAACGUUCUACUUUUCCCCUUUUUAAAUAUAUAAAUAUGUUAUACAUGUGUGUUAUAAAUUUCGAGUUAUUUCGUCGAACAAAACACACAAAACUAAAAAAAACAUUAUUUUUGGCGAAAGUAUACCAUCUUUCCAACCUUGUGCCAACACCGCGCUACUAGCUACGGACUUGAAAAUUGGUAUGGGGGGCCUGGAAACAUGGUUCUAUUGGCCGGUACCGUGCACCGUUCGUCUCGCAAACUAUAAACUACUUAAAUUUUAAGUUAAAGUCUUCUUUAGGCGCUAAAAAAGAGGAGAAAAAGUUGCCAAAGUGGUGCACAGCAAUUUGAUGUAGUGUGAUCCCUUUUCUGUUUAAUUAAAUAAUUAUCUAAACUUCUAAGCAAGUCACAGUGAUGGCGUUUAAUGUUUUAGUAGGUAUGGUUUUUCCCAGCAAAAUUACGGCAACCCGGUGUUUACUUUUGACUUGAUUGCUCGACCCGGGAAUUCUAAUCCGAAACCGGGAUUUUUUAAAAAUGUUGGAAUAAGCGAGACAACAGUGUCUCAGCAAUUUUGAAGCUAGCUAAAGUUUGGCAGAGCACGAGUUAAGACUUUGGUGGGCUCUUUCAAGAUAAAAUUGAUGAAAUCAAAGAUGUUUAUGGCUAGCUAGCUAGCUUAUCUUGGCUUUAUCACAAGAUUGGGUGCUAUUUUAUACAAUUUAUAAAGAAACACAAAAUGAUUGCUUUGUAUAUAUUUAAUGUAUAUAAUAAAUAAACUAUUUAUGCACAA
Molecule: long non-coding RNA, 904 nt
Organism: Hydractinia symbiolongicarpus
Lineage: Eukaryota; Metazoa; Cnidaria; Hydrozoa; Anthoathecata; Hydractiniidae
Exons: 2
Source: RefSeq, a predicted model, not a curated record